AGUUGUAGAAUCACUGGUGAAUAAGGGGUGGGCAAGUUCUGGUGUCAGCCGCCGCGGUAAAACCAGCACCUCGAGUGGUCAGGAGGUUUAUUGGGCCUAAAGCAUCCGUAGCCGGUUGCAUAAGUUUUCGGUUAAAUCUAUGCGCUUAACGUAUAGGCCGCCGAAAAUACUGUGCAGCUAGGGAGUGGGAGAGGUACACGGUACUCGAUAGGAAGGGGUAAAAUCCUCUGAUCUAUUGAUGACCACCUGUGGCGAAGGCGGUGUACCAGAACACGUUCGACGGUGAGGGAUGAAAGCUGAGGGAGCAAACCGGAUUAGAUACCCGGGUAGUCCCAGCUGUAAACGAUGCAGACUCGGUGAUGCAUUGGCUUGUGGCCAAUGCAGUGCCGCAGGGAAGCCGUUAAGUCUGCCGCCUGGGAAGUACGUACGCAAGUAUGAAACUUAAAGGAAUUGGCGGGGGAGCACCACAAGGGGUGAAGCCUGCGGUUCAAUUGGAGUCAACGCCAGAAAUCUUACCUGGGGAGACAGCAGAAUGAAGGUCAAGCUGAAGACUUUACCAGACACGCUGAGAGGUGGUGCAUGGCCGUCGCCAGCUCGUGCCGUGAGAUGUCCUGUUAAGUCAGGUAACGAGCGAGACCCCUGCGUCUAGUUGCUACCAUUACUCUCUGGAGCAGUGGAGCGAAUUAGACGGACCGCCGCAGUUAAUGUGGAGGAAGGAAGGGGCCACGGCAGGUCAGUAUGCCCCGAAACCCUAGGGCUACACGCGGGCUGCAAUGGUAUUGACAUGUGUUCCGAAUCCGAAAGGAGGAGGCAAUCAUCAAACAUAUCUCAGUUAUGACUGAGGGC
This 846-nucleotide ribosomal RNA is filed under the name uncultured archaeon. RNAcentral describes it as "bacterial SSU rRNA". It matches the Rfam family "Archaeal small subunit ribosomal RNA", at positions 415 to 1261 of the family's 1478-position model. The record is from RNAcentral.